RNA transcript from Lactuca sativa (garden lettuce), 1903 nucleotides. It is a transcript of the gene named embryogenesis-associated protein EMB8, with no coding region annotated. The record is from RefSeq and is a predicted model, not a curated record. NCBI's taxonomy places the organism in Eukaryota, Viridiplantae, Streptophyta, Magnoliopsida, Asterales, Asteraceae.
ACACCACCUAACUGACUUGCUUCCACCUUCCCAGUUCCCUCCCAUUUCCCGGUCAACCAACGUUCAUACGGUCGACCGGAAAUGGAGACAAUCGCCGGAGACUCCGUAUCACCUUACACACUGUUGCUCAGAAGCCUAGCGCUCAUACCUAUCUCUCACUACCUCUUAAUAGCGUUUUUUGUUUUGGUUGUUUUGGUAUACAAUCUACUCGAGAUUCAUAUCGUACAGGACAUUAUUGGAGGGUUUGGAGGUGAUUCUGUAUCUCUGACCUUCCAUUCUUCAUCCGAGUUGUACAGAGAAGUCGUAUCUAAGUGUCACCUGCUUCAUGGAAGAUACUUUUCCACUCCAUGGCUUUCUAGUCCGCAUCUUCAGACUAUUUUGCUGAAUGUUUUGGUCAAGACUCCUAGUUUCAGCUACAAAAGAGAGAUAUUUCGCACUUCUGAUGGUGGAACAAUAGCAUUGGAUUGGUUGAUGAACUCUGAUGUUUCAGAAACGAGCCUUCAAGUUCAUGGAACCAAUACAGAUGCUGUCAUUCCUCUUGUGAUAGUGAUUCCUGGCUUAACAAGUGAUUCUGCUUCCCCUUAUAUUAAGGAGAUUGCAUACAACAUGGCAAAAUAUGGAUGGAAUGUUGUUGUAAGCAACUAUCGAGGGCUAGGAGGUGUUCCACUCACUUCUGAAUGCUUCCAUCAUGCAGGAAGGUCAGAUGAUUUAGGCGAAGUAGUGAAUCAUCUUCAUUCCAAACAACCUGAAACUCUCCUAUAUGCUGUUGGAACUAGCAUGGGUGCCAAUAUAUUGGUAAAAUAUCUUGGUGAACAAGGGGUUAAUGUACCUCUUGCUGGGGCAGCAUCUAUCAGUAAUCCUUGGGAUCUUUUGAUUGGUGAUAGAUUCUUCAAUCGUGCAUUUAUGCAGAGGUUCUACAAUAGAGUUUUAGGAAAUUCCUUGAAAAGCACUGCCAAAUUACACCAAGAAGUUUAUGCUCGCCUUUCAGAUUGGGAAGGAAUUGAAAAGUCACGUUCAAUUCGAGAGUUCAGUAAUUACUCUUCUCGAAUUGCGGGGAAUUUUGAGGCUGUUGAUGAAUUUUAUAGAUGGGCUAGCAGUGCACGUUUGAUUAGCAAAGUAUCGGUUCCACUUCUAUGUGUCAAUUCCAUAGAUGAUCCUGUCUGUAGUCAUGAAGCCAUUCCUUGGGACGAGUGUCGGAGAAAUAAAAAUAUUGUUCUUGCUACCACACAACAUGGAGGACAUAUUGCAUUUUUUGAAGGAAUGCCGGGAAAAAGCUUGUGGUGGAUAAGGGUUGUUGAAGAAUACCUCUCUCAUCUGCAUGCAACCUCCUCAAUGAGCAAACACUAGACGUUGAUCGCUUUCUUGAUCGAGGAAUUUUCUUCUCUAAACUGUUGGGAAGUGGAUGUGGAUGUGCAACGGUGUUACCAUUUUGCUCGUUCAUGUUAAGAUUGCAGGGGUGGAUAUAAGAGCAACUUCGGAGCUCCAUAUCUCGCAUGAUAUCUCAAACGUGAUUCUGAUCAUGGGCGCUCUUGAAGACAUAUUCUUUGUCGGAAUUGAUCUUAUUAAGAACAUUCUGUGAUAUCAUGGUGAUGGAACAUGUUGUUUGUGGGUGUUGGUGGAAAUAAAUGAAGGUCAUUAAUCAUUGCACAUGUGGCGUCGAGUCGGUAGCGAGUCUGUGUUAACUCACCAAUUUCGUUGGCAGAUGACAAGACAUGGUUACCUCCUAAAGUAGGUAAAUGUACCUUUUAAAACGGUAAAACAAAAGUUCGUACCCCUAUGAGGCAAAAAAAGGUAACAAUGAGCCUUUUAAACCAAUAUAUUAAAUAUUGUUGGGCUAACAAUAACCCUUCAUGUAAUUUACUCUAUAGUUAAUAUUUGCAAUUUUUUUUAAAUUGAUAUUGGA